RNAcentral lists this ribosomal RNA (237 nucleotides) under uncultured bacterium. Its description in RNAcentral is "partial 16S ribosomal RNA". It matches the Rfam family "Bacterial small subunit ribosomal RNA", at positions 524 to 766 of the family's 1533-position model. The record is from RNAcentral.
UACGAAGGGUGCAAGCGUUAAUCGGAAUUACUGGGCGUAAAGCGUGCGUAGGCGGUUUGUUAAGUCUGUUGUGAAAUCCCCGGCUCAACCUGGGAAUGGCAAUGGAUACUGGCAGCUAGAGUGUGUCAGAGGAUGGUGGAAUUCCCGGUGUAGCGGUGAAAUGCGUAGAGAUCGGAGGAACAUCAGUGGCGAAGGCGGCCAUCUGGACAACACUGACGCUGAGCACGAAGCGUGGAG